UCCACAGUUUUAAUGUCAUCCAUCUACAAACAAAGAUAUUUGCAGGUGUUGGCUUAAUUCGAUUAUAGGUGGGCCAAAUCAACCACAUAUUGAUAAGUAACCAAUUUGUGAGGCCGAGAGAAAACUUAAUUUGGUGAGCCUCCUACAGUCGUAAGCCUCCUACUCAAAACACAAAAUAGUCGCAUGCUAGAUAGACAGACCAUGAUCAGCUCCGAUAGACUCAAGGAUUGGAUCUCUGUUCCUCAAAUCCCGUUCAGCGUCUUCUGUUUCGAGCAGGGUUACUUCCUCCACUGCUAACACUAGCUAUGGUGGACUCCGCGAUACUCAUCCUGUUGAUGCUUUAAUCGGACGUGUCAUCAGCAAUGACGCUGCUGUAUGUAGUAGUAACUCAAAAUACUUGAAAGUGUAUGUUGUUUUUUUAUAUUAUAUUUUGUUGCAGAUACAACAUUUUGAAAUAUUAUCCAUUUAUACUAUUUCUUCUGUGAAUGCAUGGAAUGGAACUGUGUUGUUUAAUUUAAUUGAGGUGUUUUUUUCUGUUGUUAA
This 543-nucleotide long non-coding RNA is filed under the name Medicago truncatula (barrel medic). RNAcentral's name for it is "lncRNA gene25336". The record is from RNAcentral. Lineage: Eukaryota; Viridiplantae; Streptophyta; Magnoliopsida; Fabales; Fabaceae.